This 253-nucleotide ribosomal RNA is filed under the name uncultured bacterium. RNAcentral's name for it is "partial 16S ribosomal RNA". It matches the Rfam family "Bacterial small subunit ribosomal RNA", at positions 524 to 776 of the family's 1533-position model. The record is from RNAcentral.
UACGGAGGGAGCUAGCGUUGUUCGGAAUUACUGGGCGUAAAGCGCACGUAGGCGGCAUAGCAAGUCAGGGGUGAAAUCCCGGGGCUCAACCCCGGAACUGCCUUUGAAACUGCUAAGCUAGAAUCCUGGAGAGGCGAGUGGAAUUCCGAGUGUAGAGGUGAAAUUCGUAGAUAUUCGGAAGAACACCAGUGGCGAAGGCGACUCGCUGGACAGGUAUUGACGCUGAGGUGCGAAAGCGUGGGGAGCAAACAGG